GGGUCAGGGUCUCAGGAUCUGCACGGCAGUCACCAUUGUCUUGACUUGGGAAAGAAUGUGACCCCCGCAGAUCCUUCAGUCAGGGGCUGCUGCUGAGCUUAUGAUGAUUUUUCUCCUUCUAAAGGUCAGUGACUCGUUGGGGCUGAUGAUGUCCCUGCCCUGGGCAGACAGGCAGGCCUUGCUCAUGAGUCUCUAUAUCACUCAGCUCCAGGAGACUCGGAAUCUCACCAGGACGCGUCCAUCACUCGCUCAUAGCUGGUACUUGGAAAUGAAAGAGACUCGCUGUGCAGUCCCAAUCAAUGUCCGUCGGCCGUCUCCGUCGAUAACUGCCGGGCGGUCCAAUCUUUCCCCUGAUAGAAGGGCGCCUGGGGGUCAGCCCGAAGAUGCUCUGGAAGGAAGAGGCGGCCAUUUGAUUCAGAGCCUCCUUGCUGGGCUGGAAUUAACCUGGCUCUUUCUCUAAUGAAACUGACUCCAAGGGUCCCUGUGUGCUAGAGAUUCGAUGGCCCUUAGGAGAAGCAAUGAUGAGAGGUAAUAUUAAAGCAGUGUACACAUGCAGCCUGGAAUUCCUAACCAUGCUGAUGAUGUUUUCAAGGUGCUUUGAGCCCCGUAGGAAGCAGCACCUGUCUGGCAUGUUGCUGAACGCACAGUAGAAACAGUGAAUGCAGGGGGAAUAGACCCUGGGCUGCCUUUGCUAUCUACUGAUGAAGAGAUCAGGCAUUAGGAAGCUUAGUGACUUAACCAUGAUGU
RNAcentral lists this long non-coding RNA (747 nucleotides) under Pongo abelii (Sumatran orangutan). RNAcentral's name for it is "lincRNA". The record is from RNAcentral. Lineage: Eukaryota; Metazoa; Chordata; Mammalia; Primates; Hominidae.